AUAAAGUUAAAAUGCUAAAUGACGAUCAAUUGGAGGGCAAGUCUGGUGCCAGCAGCCGCGGUAAUUCCAGCUCCAAUAGGAUAUAUCAAAGUUGUUGCAGUUAAAAAGCUCGUAGUCGUACUUCUGGUGGGUUGAUGUUCUUGUUGUUGUUUGAUGAAAAUCGAAUGCGACAUUGAACCGCCUGCCAUUUUGUGAAAACAAGAUGUUACAAGUGCACGCAAGUGUGUUUGUUCGUCUCCACUCAGUCACUGAGAGCAAAUUGGAGUGCUCAAAGCAGGCUUUACAGCUUUGAACAUUUUAGCUUGGAAUGACAAAGUAUGACUUCUAGUUCACUUUGUUGGUUCUGAAAGAGAAGUAAUGAUAAAUAGGAACAGUCGCGGGGGUACUCGUACUGGAAAGUCAGAGGUGAAAUUCUUGGAUUUUUCCACGACGAACGACUGCGAAAGCAUUUACCAAGGAUGUUUUCAUUGAUCAAGAACGAAAGUGCGAGGAUCGAAGAUGAUUAGAUACCAUCGUAGUUCGCACAGUAAACGAUGCCGACUCGGGAUUGGGAACUUUUCGUUAAUAAAAGAAGGUUCCCAGCACCGUAUGUGAAAACAAAGUCUUUGGGUUCCGGGGGGAGUAUGGUCGCAAGGUUGAAACUUAAAGGAAUUGACGGAAGGGCACACCAGAGUUGGAGCCUGCGGUUUAAUUUGACCCAACACGGGGAAACUCACCAGGUCCAGACAUGAGAAGGAUUGACAGUUUGAAAGCACUUUCUUGAUUUCAUGGGUGGUGGUGCAUGGCCGUUCUUAGUUGGUGGAGUGAUUUGUCUGGUUGAUUCCGAUAACGAACGAGACUCUCAGAGCAAACUGGCUUGCUAGUAAUUUGCGUUACUUGCAGUCUCUUUUCUCGACAAUUCGUUUUAAACGAAAGGAAGCAGAGAGCAAUAACAGGUCUGUGAUGCCCCUCGAUGUUCUGGGCUACACGCGCGCUACAAUGACGAGUUCAACGAGUUUAUUUCCUUGCCCGUAAGGGUGUGGGUAAUCUUUUCAAUGCUCGUCGUGAUGGGGCUAGAUUUUUGCAAUUAUUAAUCUUCAACGAGGAAUCUCUAGUAUGUGCAGUUCAUCAGACUGCGCAGAAUGCGUCCCUGCCCUUUGUACACACCGCCCGUCGCACCUACCGAUUGGACGAUCCGGCAAGAUGUUUGGAGUUGUGUCUUUUGCAUUUUCGGAUGUAUUUGAUGUGACGAAGCUCAU
This 1238-nucleotide ribosomal RNA is filed under the name metagenome. Its description in RNAcentral is "SSU rRNA". It matches the Rfam family "Eukaryotic small subunit ribosomal RNA", at positions 519 to 1759 of the family's 1831-position model. The record is from RNAcentral.